GAACGGGUGAGUAACACGUGAGUAACCUGCCCUUAACUCUGGGAUAAGCCUGGGAAACUGGGUCUAAUACCGGAUAUGACUCCUCAUCGCAUGGUGGGGGGUGGAAAGCUUUAUUGUGGUUUUGGAUGGACUCGCGGCCUAUCAGCUUGUUGGUGAGGUAAUGGCUUACCAAGGCGACGACGGGUAGCCGGCCUGAGAGGGUGACCGGCCACACUGGGACUGAGACACGGCCCAAACUCCUACGGGAGGCAGCAGUGGGGAAUAUUGCACAAUGGGCGCAAGCCUGAUGCAGCGACGCCGCGUGAGGGAUGACGGCCUUCGGGUUGUAAACCUCUUUCAGUAGGGAAGAAGCGAAAGUGACGGUACCUGCAAAAAAAGCGCCGGCUAACUACGUGCCAGCAGCCGCGGUAAUACGUAGGGCGCAAGCGUUAUCCGGAAUUAUUGGGCGUAAAGAGCUCGUAGGCGGUUUGUCGCGUCUGCCGUGAAAGUCCGGGGCUCAACUCCGGAUCUGCGGUGGGUACGGGCAGACUAAAGUGAUGUAGGGGAGACUGGAAUUCCUGGUGUAGCGGUGAAAUGCGCAAAUAUCAGGAGGAACACCGAUGGCGAAGGCAGGUCUCUGGGCAUUAACUGACGCUGAGGAGCGAAAGCAUGGGGAGCGAACAGGAUUAGAUACCCUGGUAGUCCAUGCCGUAAACGUUGGGCACUAGGUGUGGGGGACAUUCCACGUUUUCCGCGCCGUAGCUAACGCAUUAAGUGCCCCGCCUGGGGAGUACGGCCGCAAGGCUAAAACUCAAAGGAAUUGACGGGGGCCCGCACAAGCGGCGG
RNAcentral lists this ribosomal RNA (825 nucleotides) under Actinomycetales bacterium TLI141. RNAcentral's name for it is "bacterial SSU rRNA". It matches the Rfam family "Bacterial small subunit ribosomal RNA", at positions 100 to 935 of the family's 1533-position model. The record is from RNAcentral. Lineage: Bacteria; Bacillati; Actinomycetota; Actinomycetes; Actinomycetales.